Molecule: ribosomal RNA, 250 nt
Filed under: uncultured bacterium
Lineage: Bacteria
Description: partial 16S ribosomal RNA
Rfam family: Bacterial small subunit ribosomal RNA
Source: RNAcentral
UACGAAGGGGGCUAGCGUUGCUCGGAAUCACUGGGCGUAAAGGGUGCGUAGGCGGGUCUUUAAGUCAGGGGUGAAAUCCUGGAGCUCAACUCCAGAACUGCCUUUGAUACUGAAGAUCUUGAGUUCGGGAGAGGUGAGUGGAACUGCGAGUGUAGAGGUGAAAUUCGUAGAUAUUCGCAAGAACACCAGUGGCGAAGGCGGCUCACUGGCCCGAUACUGACGCUGAUGCACGAAAGCGUGGGGAGCAAAC